GGGGAAUCUUCCGCAAUGGACGAAAGUCUGACGGAGCAACGCCGCGUGAGUGAAGAAGGUUUUCGGAUUGUAAAGCUCUGUCUUCUGGGAAGAAUGGCUUCCAUGUAAAUAAUGUGGGAGCAUGACGGUACUAGAGGAGGAAGCCACGGCUAACUACGUGCCAGCAGCCGCGGUAAUACGUAGGUGGCAAGCGUUGUCCGGAAUUAUUGGGCGUAAAGCGCGCGCAGGCGGGAAUGUAAGUCUGUCUUAAAAGUUCGGUGCUCAACGCCGUGAUGGGACAGAAACUAUAUUUCUUGAGUGCAGGAGAGGACAGUGGAAUUCCCAGUGUAGCGGUGAAAUGCGUAGAUAUUGGGAGGAACACCAGUGGCGAAGGCGACUGUCUGGACUGUGUCUGACGCUGAGGCGCGAAAGCCAGGGUAGUGAACG
This 426-nucleotide ribosomal RNA is filed under the name uncultured Veillonellaceae bacterium. RNAcentral describes it as "bacterial SSU rRNA". It matches the Rfam family "Bacterial small subunit ribosomal RNA", at positions 356 to 774 of the family's 1533-position model. The record is from RNAcentral. Lineage: Bacteria; Bacillati; Bacillota; Negativicutes; Veillonellales; Veillonellaceae.